RNAcentral lists this ribosomal RNA (497 nucleotides) under uncultured bacterium. RNAcentral's name for it is "partial 16S ribosomal RNA". It matches the Rfam family "Bacterial small subunit ribosomal RNA", at positions 28 to 507 of the family's 1533-position model. The record is from RNAcentral.
GAUGAACGCUGGCGGCGUGCCUAAUACAUGCAAGUCGAGCGAACAGACGAGGAGCUUGCUCCUCUGACGUUAGCGGCGGACGGGUGAGUAACACGUGGAUAACCUACCUAUAAGACUGGGAUAACUUCGGGAAACCGGAGCUAAUACCGGAUAAUAUAUUGAACCGCAUGGUUCAAUAGUGAAAGACGGUUUUGCUGUCACUUAUAGAUGGAUCCGCGCCGCAUUAGCUAGUUGGUAAGGUAACGGCUUACCAAGGCAACGAUGCGUAGCCGACCUGAGAGGGUGAUCGGCCACACUGGAACUGAGACACGGUCCAGACUCCUACGGGAGGCAGCAGCAGGGAAUCUUCCGCAAUGGGCGAAGGCCUGACGGAGCAACGCCGCGUGAGUGAUGAAGGUCUUCGGAUCGUAAAACUCUGUUAUUAGGGAAGAACAAAUGUGUAAGUAACUAUGCACGUCUUGACGGUACCUAAUCAGAAAGCCACGGCUAACUACGUG